AGUGAACGCUGGCGGCAUGCUUUACACAUGCAAGUCGAACGGUAACACGCCUCCGGGUGCCGAUGAGCGGCGGACGGGUGAGUAAUGCAGCGGAACGUACCCAGAGCUGGGGGUUAACGCAGCGUAAGGUGUGCUAAUAUACCAUGUGAUCGGAGGUUGAAAGCGGGGGACCAGGCAGCAACGUUUGGCCUCGCGCCUUUGGAUCGGCCGAUGUCAGAUUAGGUAGUUGGUGGGGUAAAGGCCUACCAAGCCGACGAUCGGUAGCUGGUCUGAGAGGACGACCAGCCACACUGGGACUGAGACACGGCCCAGACUCCUACGGGAGGCAGCAGUGGGGAAUAUUGCACAAUGGGCGGAAGCCUGAUGCAGCAACGCCGCGUGCGGGAUGACGGCCUUCGGGUUGUAAACCGCUUUCGCCUGUGACGAAGCGUGAGUGACGGUAAUGGGUAAAGAAGCACCGGCUAACUACGUG
Molecule: ribosomal RNA, 472 nt
Filed under: uncultured bacterium
Lineage: Bacteria
Description: partial 16S ribosomal RNA
Rfam family: Bacterial small subunit ribosomal RNA
Source: RNAcentral